RNAcentral lists this non-coding RNA (114 nucleotides) under Intrasporangium calvum. RNAcentral describes it as "SAM-IV sequence". It matches the Rfam family "SAM (S-adenosyl methionine) riboswitch aptamer". From Rfam's summary of the family: SAM-IV is a mRNA element that regulates gene expression via direct sensing of S-adenosylmethionine (SAM or AdoMet). SAM-IV riboswitches share conserved nucleotide positions with the previously described SAM-I riboswitches sequence analysis and molecular recognition experiments suggest that SAM-I and SAM-IV riboswitches share similar ligand binding sites, but have different scaffolds. The record is from RNAcentral. RNAcentral also lists the same sequence under 1 other name. Lineage: Bacteria; Bacillati; Actinomycetota; Actinomycetes; Micrococcales; Intrasporangiaceae.
GGUCAUGAGCACCAGCGACAAGCCCCGGCUCGCUGGUCGGCAACCCUCCUUCGCGGUGGGGUGCCCCGGGUGAGGACCAGGCCGCGCCCCAACCGGUGUCGGCAAGCGCGAGUA